CUUCUCUGGUCUUGAGUCUCACAGCUUCCUAUUCUCUCCUUAGUAUGUGUUUUUAAGAAAAGCUUCUACAGCCCACCCUCAGCAUUUCGGAUGCCUUCAACAGAAUGCUUGAUUCCUGGCUUCCAGAAUAUUAGAGAACACAUUCUCCAUGUCACUAAGCUGGUGGCACUUUGUCAUAACCACCUUGGGAAACAGCCCAAGGAGCAACUUGAACACAGAGUGGUAAGACAGAGCCCGCAGCUGGUAUAUGGGAACAGGUACAUGGAGCAAUAGCAAAUUUACAAGGACACCGUGGACUUUGUUUCUACAGUUCUUGUCUGGAUUCUAUUCGGGGACAUACUGUAAGAAGAAACCUUUAUUAUCUUCAGCACUCUCAACCAACAGAAAUCCAGCCUUGUGGUGGCUAGUAC
Molecule: long non-coding RNA, 410 nt
Organism: Microtus oregoni (creeping vole)
Lineage: Eukaryota; Metazoa; Chordata; Mammalia; Rodentia; Cricetidae
Exons: 3
Source: RefSeq, a predicted model, not a curated record